This 170-nucleotide non-coding RNA is filed under the name chicken gut metagenome. RNAcentral describes it as "Lysine riboswitch". It matches the Rfam family "Lysine riboswitch aptamer". Rfam says of the family: Riboswitches are metabolite binding domains within certain messenger RNAs that serve as precision sensors for their corresponding targets. Allosteric rearrangement of mRNA structure is mediated by ligand binding, and this results in modulation of gene expression. The record is from RNAcentral.
ACCGAUAGAGGUGCGGCAAAGAUGAUUACCGCAGCAGAGACCCGCCGGUCGCUUGAUGCUGUGGGAAAGGCGAUGCUGCCGAAGAACGCAUAGCUGCAGGCAGGCUGUGGUUCUGGUUGCAGGGUGAACAAUUCUGUGACUGUCAUCAUUGUCAUGAUGGAGCGCUAUCC